AGUCGACCGGGCAAUCGCUGCCAUGCACGCGUGUCGUAAGGCAUACGGUCAUGGGGGAGGAAAGUCCGAGCUCCAUAGGACAAGGUGCCAGGUAACGCCUGGAGGGCGCGAGCCCAUGACUAGUGCAACAGAGAACAGACCGCCACGCAAGUGGUAAGGGUGAAACGGCGAGGUAAGAGCUCACCGCUUUUUUAGCAAUAAAAAAGGCAAGGUAAACUCCACCUGGAGCAAGCUCAAAUAGGCUUUCUAUGAUCUGGUCCGGAUCGAAGGCGGGUUGAGUGCUGGACCCUAGGAGCGAUCCUAGGGCUAGAGGAAUGAUUGCCACUGCGAAAGCAGACGGAACUCGGCUUAUAGGUUGACUCA
Molecule: RNase P RNA, 363 nt
Filed under: uncultured Succinivibrio sp.
Lineage: Bacteria; Pseudomonadati; Pseudomonadota; Gammaproteobacteria; Aeromonadales; Succinivibrionaceae
Description: Bacterial RNase P class A
Rfam family: Bacterial RNase P class A
About the family: Ribonuclease P (RNase P) is a ubiquitous endoribonuclease, found in archaea, bacteria and eukarya as well as chloroplasts and mitochondria.
Source: RNAcentral